This 895-nucleotide ribosomal RNA is filed under the name uncultured bacterium. RNAcentral describes it as "bacterial SSU rRNA". It matches the Rfam family "Bacterial small subunit ribosomal RNA", at positions 21 to 896 of the family's 1533-position model. The record is from RNAcentral.
GGCUCAGAACGAACGUGGCGGGCGUGGAUGAGGCAUGCAAGUCGAGCGUGAAACCCCGCAAGGGGGAGUAAAGCGGCGAAAGGGUGAGUAUUACGUAAUCAACCUGCCCUCGAGACUGGGAUAACCAUGGGAAACUGUGGCUAAUACCGGAUGGCCUGGCGGGGCCGCAUGGGCCCGCCAGUAAAUGAUAGGGAUCCUUCGGGACCUUUUGCUCGAGGAGGGGAUUGCGGCCCAUCAGCUUGUUGGCGGGGUAACGGCCCACCAAGGCGAUGACGGGUAGCCGGCCUGAGAGGGUGGUCGGCCACAUUGGGACUGAGACACUGCCCAGACUCCUACGGGAGGCUGCAGUCGAGGAUCUUCCGCAAUGGGCGCAAGCCUGACGGAGCGACGCCGCGUGGAGGAUGAAGGCCUUCGGGUUGUAAACUCCUGUCACAGAUUAAGAAUUGUUCCGCGUGAACAGCGUGGAGCAUGACGUUAGUUUGAGAGGAAGCACCGGCUAACUCUGUGCCAGCAGCCGCGGUAAUACAGAGGGUGCAAACGUUGUUCGGAAUCACUGGGCAUAAAGCGCACGUAGGCGGCUUAGCAAGUGUGGUGUGAAAGCCCCCGGCCCAACCGGGGAACUGCAUCACAGACUGCUAGGCUAGAGAGCGGUAGGGGAGACUGGAACUCCUGGUGGAGCGGUGAAAUGCGUAGAUAUCAGGAGGAACACCGGUGGUGAAAACGAGUCUCUGGUCCGCUUCUGACGCUCAGGUGCGAAAGCUAGGGGAGCAAACGGGAUUAGAUACCCCGGUAGUCCUAGCCGUAAACGAUGGGCACUAACUAGAGGUGACCCUGCGUCGUCUCUGGUGUAGCAAAUGUGUUAAGUGCCCCGCCUGGGGAGUAUGGUCGCAGGCUG